AUCCAUAGGUUAAUGAGGCGAACCGGGGGAACUGAAACAUCUAAGUACCCCGAGGAAAAGAAAUCAACCGAGAUUCCCCCAGUAGCGGCGAGCGAACGGGGAGGAGCCCAGAGCCUGAAUCAGUGUGUGUGUUAGUGGAAGCGUCUGGAAAGGCGCGCGAUACAGGGUGACAGCCCCGUACACAAAAAUGCACAUAUUGUGAGCUCGAUGAGUAGGGCGGGACACGUGGUAUCCUGUCUGAAUAUGGGGGGACCAUCCUCCAAGGCUAAAUACUCCUGACUGACCGAUAGUGAACCAGUACCGUGAGGGAAAGGCGAAAAGAACCCCGGCGAGGGGAGUGAAAAAGAACCUGAAACCGUGUACGUACAAGCAGUGGGAGCCUCUUAAUGGGGUGACUGCGUACCUUUUGUAUAAUGGGUCAGCGACUUAUAUUCUGUAGCAAGGUUAACCGAAUAGGGGAGCCGAAGGGAAACCGAGUCUUAACUGGGCGUUAAGUUGCAGGGUAUAGACCCGAAACCCGGUGAUCUAGCCAUGGGCAGGUUGAAGGUUGGGUAACACUAACUGGAGGACCGAACCGACUAAUGUUGAAAAAUUAGCGGAUGACUUGUGGCUGGGGGUGAAAGGCCAAUCAAACCGGGAGAUAGCUGGUUCUCCCCGAAAGCUAUUUAGGUAGCGCCUCGUGAAUUCAUCUCCGGGGGUAGAGCACUGUUUCGGCAAGGGGGUCAUCCCGACUUACCAACCCGAUGCAAACUGCGAAUACCGGAGAAUGUUAUCACGGGAGACACACGGCGGGUGCUAACGUCCGUCGUGAAGAGGGAAACAACCCAGACCGCCAGCUAAGGUCCCAAAGUCAUGGUUAAGUGGGAAACGAUGUGGGAAGGCCCAGACAGCCAGGAUGUUGGCUUAGAAGCAGCCAUCAUUUAAAGAAAGCGUAAUAGCUCACUGGUCGAGUCGGCCUGCGCGGAAGAUGUAACGGGGCUAAACCAUGCACCGAAGCUGCGGCAGCGACACUAUGUGUUGUUGGGUAGGGGAGCGUUCUGUAAGCCUGUGAAGGUGUACUGUGAGGUAUGCUGGAGGUAUCAGAAGUGCGAAUGCUGACAUAAGUAACGAUAAAGCGGGUGAAAAGCCCGCUCGCCGGAAGACCAAGGGUUCCUGUCCAACGUUAAUCGGGGCAGGGUGAGUCGACCCCUAAGGCGAGGCCGAAAGGCGUAGUCGAUGGGAAACAGGUUAAUAUUCCUGUACUUGGUGUUACUGCGAAGGGGGGACGGAGAAGGCUAUGUUGGCCGGGCGACGGUUGUCCCGGUUUAAGCGUGUAGGCUGGUUUUCCAGGCAAAUCCGGAAAAUCAAGGCUGAGGCGUGAUGACGAGGCACUACGGUGCUGAAGCGACAAAUGCCCUGCUUCCAGGAAAAGCCUCUAAGCAUCAGGUAACAUCAAAUCGUACCCCAAACCGACACAGGUGGUCAGGUAGAGAAUACCAAGGCGCUUGAGAGAACUCGGGUGAAGGAACUAGGCAAAAUGGUGCCGUAACUUCGGGAGAAGGCACGCUGAUAUGUAGGUGAAGCGACUUGCUCGUGGAGCUGAAAUCAGUCGAAGAUACCAGCUGGCUGCAACUGUUUAUUAAAAACACAGCACUGUGCAAACACGAAAGUGGACGUAUACGGUGUGACGCCUGCCCGGUGCCGGAAGGUUAAUUGAUGGGGUUAGCGGUAACGCGAAGCUCUUGAUCGAAGCCCCGGUAAACGGCGGCCGUAACUAUAACGGUCCUAAGGUAGCGAAAUUCCUUGUCGGGUAAGUUCCGACCUGCACGAAUGGCGUAAUGAUGGCCAGGCUGUCUCCACCCGAGACUCAGUGAAAUUGAACUCGCUGUGAAGAUGCAGUGUACCCGCGGCAAGACGGAAAGACCCCGUGAACCUUUACUAUAGCUUGACACUGAACAUUGAGCCUUGAUGUGUAGGAUAGGUGGGAGGCUUUGAAGUGUGGACGCCAGUCUGCAUGGAGCCGACCUUGAAAUACCACCCUUUAAUGUUUGAUGUUCUAACGUGGGCCCCUUACCGGGGUUGCGGACAGUGUCUGGUGGGUAGUUUGACUGGGGCGGUCUCCUCCUAAAGAGUAACGGAGGAGCACGAAGGUUGGCUAAUCCUGGUCGGACAUCAGGAGGUUAGUGCAAUGGCAUAAGCCAGCUUGACUGCGAGCGUGACGGCGCGAGCAGGUGCGAAAGCAGGUCAUAGUGAUCCGGUGGUUCUGAAUGGAAGGGCCAUCGCUCAACGGAUAAAAGGUACUCCGGGGAUAACAGGCUGAUACCGCCCAAGAGUUCAUAUCGACGGCGGUGUUUGGCACCUCGAUGUCGGCUCAUCACAUCCUGGGGCUGAAGUAGGUCCCAAGGGUAUGGCUGUUCGCCAUUUAAAGUGGUACGCGAGCUGGGUUUAGAACGUCGUG
RNAcentral lists this ribosomal RNA (2437 nucleotides) under Escherichia coli. Its description in RNAcentral is "partial 23S ribosomal RNA". It matches the Rfam family "Bacterial large subunit ribosomal RNA", at positions 162 to 2623 of the family's 2925-position model. Lineage: Bacteria; Pseudomonadati; Pseudomonadota; Gammaproteobacteria; Enterobacterales; Enterobacteriaceae. The record is from RNAcentral.